Molecule: transfer RNA, 91 nt
Filed under: Clavibacter michiganensis
Lineage: Bacteria; Bacillati; Actinomycetota; Actinomycetes; Micrococcales; Microbacteriaceae
Description: tRNA-Gly
Source: RNAcentral
GGACGGCCGCGGACCCGGUCGGUGCCCGCCCUUCCGGGGCGGGGUCGGCGUCUGCUAUGCUGAUCGACGGCUCCGGGGCUGUCACAGUCCC